UACAGAGGUGACAAGCGUUGUUCGGAAUUACUGGGCGUAAAGGGCGCGUAGGCGGUCUUGUCAGUCCCUUGUGAAAUCCCCCGGCUCAACUGGGGAACUGCACGGGAAACAGCAGGGCUUGAGUUCGGGAGAGGGAAGCGGAAUUCCGGGUGUAGCGGUGAAAUGCGUAGAUAUCCGGAGGAACACCGGUGGCGAAGGCGGCUUCCUGGACCGAUACUGACGCUGAGGCGCGAAAGCUAGGGGAGCAAACGGG
This 253-nucleotide ribosomal RNA is filed under the name uncultured bacterium. RNAcentral describes it as "partial 16S ribosomal RNA". It matches the Rfam family "Bacterial small subunit ribosomal RNA", at positions 524 to 776 of the family's 1533-position model. The record is from RNAcentral.